RNAcentral lists this ribosomal RNA (818 nucleotides) under Psychrobacter nivimaris. RNAcentral describes it as "bacterial SSU rRNA". It matches the Rfam family "Bacterial small subunit ribosomal RNA", at positions 61 to 873 of the family's 1533-position model. The record is from RNAcentral. Lineage: Bacteria; Pseudomonadati; Pseudomonadota; Gammaproteobacteria; Moraxellales; Moraxellaceae.
GUCGAGCGGAACGAUGGUAGCUUGCUACCAGGCGUCGAGCGGCGGACGGGUGAGUAAUACUUAGGAAUCUACCUAGUAGUGGGGGAUAGCACGGGGAAACUCGUAUUAAUACCGCAUACGACCUACGGGAGAAAGGGGGCAGUUUACUGCUCUCGCUAUUAGAUGAGCCUAAGUCGGAUUAGCUAGAUGGUGGGGUAAAGGCCUACCAUGGCGACGAUCUGUAGCUGGUCUGAGAGGAUGAUCAGCCACACCGGGACUGAGACACGGCCCGGACUCCUACGGGAGGCAGCAGUGGGGAAUAUUGGACAAUGGGGGAAACCCUGAUCCAGCCAUGCCGCGUGUGUGAAGAAGGCCUUUUGGUUGUAAAGCACUUUAAGCAGUGAAGAAGACUCUUCGGUUAAUACCCGGAGACGAUGACAUUAGCUGCAGAAUAAGCACCGGCUAACUCUGUGCCAGCAGCCGCGGUAAUACAGAGGGUGCAAGCGUUAAUCGGAAUUACUGGGCGUAAAGCGAGCGUAGGUGGCUUGAUAAGUCAGAUGUGAAAUCCCCGGGCUUAACCUGGGAACUGCAUCUGAAACUGUUAGGCUAGAGUAGGUGAGAGGGAAGUAGAAUUUCAGGUGUAGCGGUGAAAUGCGUAGAGAUCUGAAGGAAUACCGAUGGCGAAGGCAGCUUCCUGGCAUCAUACUGACACUGAGGCUCGAAAGCGUGGGUAGCAAACAGGAUUAGAUACCCUGGUAGUCCACGCCGUAAACGAUGUCUACUAGUCGUUGGGUCCCUUGAGGACUUAGUGACGCAGCUAACGCAAUAAGUAGACCGCC